RNAcentral lists this ribosomal RNA (392 nucleotides) under uncultured bacterium. RNAcentral describes it as "bacterial SSU rRNA". It matches the Rfam family "Bacterial small subunit ribosomal RNA", at positions 917 to 1333 of the family's 1533-position model. The record is from RNAcentral.
GGACCCGCACAAGCGGUGGAGCAUGUGGUUUAAUUCGAUGCAACGCGAAAAACCUUACCUACUCUUGACAUACUUGGAAGCUCUUGUAAUGAGAGUGUGCCUUUUGGAACCAAGAUACAGGUGCUGCAUGGCUGUCGUCAGCUCGUGUCGUGAGAUGUUCCGUUAAGUCGGAUAACGAGCGCAACCCUUACCCUUAUUUGCCAGCGAUUCGGUCGGGAACUAUAAGGGGACUGCCGGUGAUAAACCGGAGGAAGGUGUGGAUGACGUCAAGUCCUCAUGGCCCUUACGGGUUGGGCUACACACGUGCUACAAUGGUGGUGACAAUGGGUUAAUCCCAAAAGCCAUCUCAGUUCGGAUUGGGGUCUGCAACUCGACCCCAUGAAGUCGGAAUC